RNAcentral lists this ribosomal RNA (497 nucleotides) under uncultured bacterium. RNAcentral's name for it is "partial 16S ribosomal RNA". It matches the Rfam family "Bacterial small subunit ribosomal RNA", at positions 28 to 507 of the family's 1533-position model. The record is from RNAcentral.
GAUGAACGCUGGCGGCGUGCCUAAUACAUGCAAGUAGAACGCUGAAGGAAGGAGCUUGCUCUUUCCGGAUGAGUUGCGAACGGGUGAGUAACGCGUAGGUAACCUGCCUGGUAGCGGGGGAUAACUAUUGGAAACGAUAGCUAAUACCGCAUAACAGUAGAUGUUGCAUGACAACUAUUUGAAAGGGGCAAUUGCUCCACUACCGGAUGGACCUGCGUUGUAUUAGCUAGUUGGUGAGGUAACGGCUCACCAAGGCGACGAUACAUAGCCGACCUGAGAGGGUGAUCGGCCACACUGGGACUGAGACACGGCCCAGACUCCUACGGGAGGCAGCAGUAGGGAAUCUUCGGCAAUGGACGGAAGUCUGACCGAGCAACGCCGCGUGAGUGAAGAAGGUUUUCGGAUCGUAAAGCUCUGUUGUAAGAGAAGAACGAGUGUGAGAGUGGAAAGUUCACACUGUGACGGUAUCUGACCAGAAAGGGACGGCUAACUACGUG